UGGGCAGAGUGAACCACUGGUCGAGGACUGCCACCCAGCGCGCUUGUGUGGCCAAGCGCAGCCACUGCACGGGUCCGUAGACGAGGGCCAUCCAGGCGAACACGUCCUUGAGGUUUGAUAUUCCAACACUCCGAGAACAAUUCAUCAUGAAGAUAAAGGUGCCAUAAAAUCAAUCCAGUGGAAAAUCCUUGUGCUCAGACCUGAAGCAAAUCCCAUCUGAAGACCUCACUUCUGGUUCCAGCUCCUCUGGACACGCCCCUUCCUGUCACAACACUAUAUAUCUGCCAUGUUGUCAUUUGUCUUUGUUUCAUUCUUGAGCUCCAUCUGUAAAGCAACCUAUUUUGGUUUUCUUUGCUUGGUUUUCAUGUAUAUGGGGGCUGCCACAUUGAUAUUCCCCCAACCAUUCAUAGUGGUUUCUUGUAUUUCUUUCAUUAUAUAUAUAUAUAGUGUAAAGAGGAGAUAUGACAGUGUCAAAGAAUUGGGGCACCACCCGGUGACUCCAUAUAAUUACCAAAGUUAUAAAUAAAC
Molecule: long non-coding RNA, 528 nt
Organism: Polypterus senegalus (gray bichir)
Lineage: Eukaryota; Metazoa; Chordata; Cladistia; Polypteriformes; Polypteridae
Exons: 3
Source: RefSeq, a predicted model, not a curated record